GGUUGUAGCUCAGUGGUAGAGUGCUUCCCUAGCGUGCAUGAGGCACUGGGUUUAAUUCUCAGCACCA
RNAcentral lists this transfer RNA (67 nucleotides) under Marmota monax (woodchuck). RNAcentral's name for it is "tRNA.Ala". Lineage: Eukaryota; Metazoa; Chordata; Mammalia; Rodentia; Sciuridae. The record is from RNAcentral.